UUUUCACUGUACAUUGUCACAAUCACAAUCCAUUAUCAUUCGCAGACAAGCAAACACAUGUUCAACUUUACAAGCAAAAUACGUAGCCAUAGGCAACAUACUGCAUACAAUCUGACAGUUCAUCUGUCAUUUUCGAUAAAUUGUUCCUGUCAUUCUCGACACUUGGAUUGGAGUACAAAAAGAACACUACACCAAAAAAGGCAUAAGGGACAUGCUCGUGCUGACUUUUUGGUAAAAACAUUACCAAAUUCAUCCUUUCAAAACAAAAGACUAUACAGAAUUUAUUAAACUACAUUUCAUCAGUGUCUAGUUCAUUCGUCAUCAACAGCUGAACGUUCUCCCCCACUCUCUUCAUUUGACUCCAUUUCAUCAGUGUCUAGUUCAUUCGUCAUCAACAACUGAACCUUCUCCCCCGCUCUCUUCAUUUGACUCAUCCGACGAGAUGACAAUUAUCUCAUUCUAUGGGAUGUACACCAACUAGUCGUCAUCGUUGGAUUCAACUUCGUACCGAACCGUGACCUCCAACACCACAUCGAGCACACCGUUCAGAGACUGCACCCCUUCAGUUGCAACUUCAUCCAAGUUGGGAAAAGUUACAGCGAAAAUGACUCUCCUAUCAAUACAAGGGUUAACUUUCUCAUCCUUUGAAAAAAUGUAGAUUGAAAAUAACGGGGAUGAACCAAAAAUUAGCAAAGGCUCGAUCAACUUAAACGUUUCGUUACUUCCCGUGGGCGAACUUAUUAUGUUGACACAAUGCAAUUGAUGAAACGGUUUGUGUAUGUGAGAACUUGAAAGUCUCAC
This 801-nucleotide long non-coding RNA is filed under the name Olea europaea subsp. europaea. The record is from RNAcentral. Lineage: Eukaryota; Viridiplantae; Streptophyta; Magnoliopsida; Lamiales; Oleaceae.